GUCAAUGUGGAGGCUAUAUACAGGGGAUACCGGUACAGAGUCAAUGUGGAGGCUAUAUACAGGGGGUACCGGUACAGAGUCAAUGUGGAGGCUAUAUACAGGGGGGUACCGGUACAGAGUCAAUGUGGAGGCUAUAUACAGGGGGGUACCGGUACAGAGUCAAUGUGGAGGCUAUAUACAGGGGGGUACCAGUACAGAGUCAAUGUGGAGACUAUAUACAGGGGGGUACCGGUACAGAGUCAAUGUGGAGGCUAUAUACAGGGGGUACCGGUACAGAGUCAAUGUGGAGGCUAUAUACAGGGGGGUACCAGUACAGAGUCAAUGUGGAGGCUUUAUACCAGGGGGUACCGAUAAGUCAAUGUGGAGACUACAUACGGGGUGUUACGGUACAGAGUCAAUGUGGAGGCUAUAUACAGGGGGUACCGAUAAGUCAAUGUGGAGGCUAUAUACAGGGUGUUACGGUACAGAGUCAAUGUGGAGGCUAUAUACAGGGGGGUACCGGUACAGAGUCAAUGUGGAGGCUCUAUACAGGGGGGUACCGGUACAGAGUCAAUGUGGAGGCUAUAUACCAGGGGUACCGGUACAGAGUCAAUGUGGAGUAUAGAUACAGUGGGGUGCCAUUACAGAGUCAAUGUGGAGACUAUAUACAGGGUGUAACGUUACAGAGUCAAUGUGGAGGCUAUAUACAGGGGUGUACCAGUACAGAGUCAAUGUGGAGGCUGUAUACAGGGGGUACCGGUCCAGAGUCAAUGUGGAGGCUAUAUACAGGGGGGUACCGGUACAGAGUCAAUGUGGAGGCUAUAUACAGGGGGUACCGAUAAGUCAAUGUGGAGGCUAUAUACAGGGUGUUACGGUACAGAGUCAAUGUGGAGGCUAUAUACAGGGGGGUACCGGUACAGAGUAAAUGUGGAGGCUCUAUACAGGGGGGUACCGGUACAGAGUCAAUGUGGAGGCUAUAUACCAGGGGUACCGGUACAGAGUCA
Molecule: long non-coding RNA, 983 nt
Filed under: Salmo salar (Atlantic salmon)
Lineage: Eukaryota; Metazoa; Chordata; Actinopteri; Salmoniformes; Salmonidae
Description: lncRNA (ENSSSAG00000086561.1, ENSSSAG00000117215.1)
Source: RNAcentral